This 500-nucleotide ribosomal RNA is filed under the name uncultured Phialophora. RNAcentral's name for it is "eukaryotic LSU rRNA". The stretch from base 147 to 300 matches the Rfam family "5.8S ribosomal RNA". Lineage: Eukaryota; Fungi; Ascomycota; Leotiomycetes. The record is from RNAcentral.
CGAGGGUGACUCUCCAACCCUAUGUUAAUUAUACCCUUGUUGCUUUGGCGAGCCGCUCCGGCCACCGGCUUCUCGCUGGUGAGUGCUCGCCAGAGGACCCUAAAACUCUGUUUAUACAUGUCGUCUGAGUACUAUAUAAUAGUUAAAACUUUCAACAACGGAUCUCUUGGUUCUGGCAUCGAUGAAGAACGCAGCGAAAUGCGAUAAGUAAUGUGAAUUGCAGAAUUCAGUGAAUCAUCGAAUCUUUGAACGCACAUUGCGCCCUGUGGUAUUCCGCAGGGCAUGCCUGUUCGAGCGUCAGUACAACACUCAAGCCUAGCUUGGUCUUGGGCCUCGCCGGAGACGGCGGGCCUUAAAAUCAGUGGCGGCGCCUCUCGGGCCCUAAGCGUAGUAAUACUCCUCGCUACAGGGACCCGGUGGACGCUGGCCAGCAACCCCCAACUUUCUAAGUUUGACCUCGGAUCAGGUAGGGAUACCCGCUGAACUUAAGCAUAUCAAUA